This 200-nucleotide unclassified non-coding RNA is filed under the name uncultured Tomentella. RNAcentral describes it as "sequence contains ITS1". The record is from RNAcentral. Lineage: Eukaryota; Fungi; Basidiomycota; Agaricomycetes; Thelephorales; Thelephoraceae.
CCGAACUGUCAACACGAGUUGUUGCUGGUCCCCAAACUGGGGGCAUGUGCACGCUCUGUUUGCACAUCCACCCACACCUGUGCACCCUCUGUAGUUCUAUGGCCUGGGUGACUUUGUCCCCUUGCUGUGGUUCUACGUAUUUACACACACACUGCCAUAAAGUCUCAUGGAAUGUUUAUCGCGUUUAACGCAAUAUAAUA